UACGUAGGGUGCGAGCGUUGCCCGGAUUUAUUGGGCGUAAAGGGCGCGUAGGCGGCUACGCACGUCCGUUGUGAAAUCGCUCGGCUCAACUGGGCGGGGUCAGCGGAUACGGUGUAGCUGGAGCAAGCUAGGGGGCAAUGGAAUUCCCGGUGUAGUGGUGGAAUGCGUAGAUAUUGGGAGGAACACCAGUGGCGAAGGCGGCUCACUGGACCGGUACUGACGCUGAGGAGCGAAAGCGUGGGGAGCGAACAGG
RNAcentral lists this ribosomal RNA (253 nucleotides) under uncultured bacterium. Its description in RNAcentral is "partial 16S ribosomal RNA". It matches the Rfam family "Bacterial small subunit ribosomal RNA", at positions 524 to 776 of the family's 1533-position model. The record is from RNAcentral.